AAGACAUCAACCUUAAAGCCGCGUGCUCAACACCAUACGCCCUCGCCGCUGUCCCACUUUCCCUACUUUCCAACCCCAGUAUCACCUCCUCUGACUCUUGAGCCCAACACGGAUUGACUUGCGACAUAGGCGGGUGGAUUCAUAUGACAGCAAUUCUUUGAUGAAACCUGGACUUGACUAUAAUUUGCCCGAUGAUCCCUAACACCUGAUCGCAGUCCAAUCAGCUGGAAGCGGGCAGGCUGGUCAAGGAUGCGCUGCUGUAUCACUUUUGACAGCUACUGCAGGAGUCACGUGACCAAACAAUUACCUCAUACCUUGUGAGCGCGUGUGUGCGCCUGUGCUCUGUGUAUAUGGAUUUGUGUGGGCGAGCACCAAUAAAACGGUGUGGUGCAGGCGCGCCCAU
Long non-coding RNA from Onychostoma macrolepis, 403 nucleotides. RefSeq lists it as uncharacterized. The record is from RefSeq and is a predicted model, not a curated record. The transcript has 3 exons. Lineage: Eukaryota; Metazoa; Chordata; Actinopteri; Cypriniformes; Cyprinidae.